CUUAUGACCUGGGCUACACACGUGCUACAAUGGCAUAUACAACGAGUCGCCAACCCGCGAGGGUGCGCUAAUCUCUUAAAGUAUGUCUCAGUUCGGAUUGUAGGCUGCAACUCGCCUACAUGAAGUCGGAAUCGCUAGUAAUCGCGGAUCAGCACGCCGCGGUGAAUACGU
This 171-nucleotide ribosomal RNA is filed under the name Weissella paramesenteroides. RNAcentral describes it as "partial 16S ribosomal RNA". It matches the Rfam family "Bacterial small subunit ribosomal RNA", at positions 1201 to 1371 of the family's 1533-position model. Lineage: Bacteria; Bacillati; Bacillota; Bacilli; Lactobacillales; Lactobacillaceae. The record is from RNAcentral.